GACGAACGCUGGCGGCGCGCCUAACACAUGCAAGUCGAACGAGCGAGAGAGAGCUUGCUUUCUUGAGCGAGUGGCGAACGGGUGAGUAACGCGUGAGGAACCGGCCUCAGAGAGGGGGACAACAGUUGGAAACGACUGCUAAUACCGCAUAAGCCCACGACGCGGCAUCGGGCUGAGGGAAAAGGAGGAAUCGGAUUUGAGAUGGCCUCGCGUCCGAUUAGCUAGUUGGGGAGGUAACGGCCCACCAAGGCGACGAGCGGUAGCCGGACUGAGAGGUUGAACGGACACUUUGGGACUGAGACACGGCCCAGGCCUCUACGGGAGGCAGCGAUGGGGAAUAUUGAACAAUGGGCGAACCACUGAGGCAGCGAACCCGCGUGGAGGAAGACGGUCUUCGGAUUGUAAGCUCCUGUUGUUGAGGAAGAUCUUGACGGUGAUCAAUAAGGAAGUGCCGGCCACCUACG
Molecule: ribosomal RNA, 464 nt
Filed under: uncultured bacterium
Lineage: Bacteria
Description: partial 16S ribosomal RNA
Rfam family: Bacterial small subunit ribosomal RNA
Source: RNAcentral